AACGGUCUAUACCUGCGGUACCUGCGGAAGGAUCAUUAUUGAAUUUACUUGAUGGGUUUGUAGCUGGCCCUUGGGGCAUGUGCACGGCCUGUCUUGACUUUAUUCAUCCACCUGUGCACCUCUUGUAGUCUUUUGGGGGCUGAUGGAGCAGUUAACUCAGUCGCAAGGCUGGAUGUGAGGACUGAUUGACCAUGUCUCGGUUUAAUCUCUCUUCUGUGCUGUGAUGUCUCCCUUGAAAGA
This 240-nucleotide unclassified non-coding RNA is filed under the name soil metagenome. RNAcentral's name for it is "partial contains 5.8S ribosomal RNA, internal transcribed spacer 2, and large subunit ribosomal RNA". The record is from RNAcentral.